CGAGCCUGCAAUUUCGAUCCGCACUCAGCAAAACGACGAGAUAGAGAAGAAACUUACCGUCUAACAAAUCGACGUCACUUCCUUUUACACGUAUACUUAUAUAUAGUAUACGCGUAUAAAUACAUAGAAAGGAUAUGUAAUGCGAAAGUAAAAUUUAUAUUAAAAGAGAGAAAUCUUGUUCGACGACAUGAUUGGAGUUAUUAAGAAAUUUUGAAUUUGGAAUCAUGAUUGACAAUUCGACGUUGAUGAAAAUAUUUUUUUCCAUAGAACUAUGAAACGAACGAUAAGUGACUUAGAACGAUUACGGAUGUGGCUUCGUCGAGCCGAAACGAAAUAACAAGACAUUGCCAUCAGCCAGAAUGUCCAUUAUCUUUGUAACACAAACGUUACUUCGGUUCGAUGGAUGUAACAACGACGUUUAACGAUUUCGUUUAAUCGUCCCUUAGGU
This is a long non-coding RNA of Vespula vulgaris, 448 nucleotides long. RefSeq lists it as uncharacterized. The record is from RefSeq and is a predicted model, not a curated record. The transcript has 3 exons. Lineage: Eukaryota; Metazoa; Arthropoda; Insecta; Hymenoptera; Vespidae.